Molecule: non-coding RNA, 29 nt
Filed under: Mus musculus (house mouse)
Lineage: Eukaryota; Metazoa; Chordata; Mammalia; Rodentia; Muridae
Source: RNAcentral
AACAAGAAUUUGUCUGUCUUAGUCUGGGU